RNAcentral lists this small RNA (2859 nucleotides) under Pongo abelii (Sumatran orangutan). Its description in RNAcentral is "retained intron". The record is from RNAcentral. Lineage: Eukaryota; Metazoa; Chordata; Mammalia; Primates; Hominidae.
GGAGGAGCAGAGAAAAAUUCUUCCCGUUUUAUUGAAUGGGGACUUCCUGGAACUAAAAACAAAACCAAAGAUUUGGAUUUCUCCACUUCCAGUCUUUCAAGAAGUAAGGUAAAUGCAGAAAUGGGUAAUAGUGGUAUCACUACAGAAUUGACUCUGAAAUAUGUUAUUACUAAUGUUACAACCUUAGAAACAGGUAUAAGCUCUGUGAAUGCUGGGCAAGAUGUGAACAUAAUGAUUACAUAUAAAACAUCACUAUAGAAUACCAACUUGGGAGAUGUCGCUAAAGGACUUCAGUCAAGUAAUUUUGGUGUUAAUAUACAAACGUACACCCCAUCUUUAACUCCACAGACCAAGACUGGAGUAAGACCUUUUAACCCUGGUAGGAUGAAUGUGGCAGGAGACUUAUUUCAGAAUGGAGAAUUUGCAACUCAUCAUAGUCCUGAUUCUUGGAUCUCCCAGUCAGCUUCAUUUCCCCGUAAUCAGAAACAGCCAGGGGUGGAUUCUUUAUCACCAGUGGCCUUACUUCGUAAGCAGAAUUUCCAGCCUACAGCCCAACAACAACUUACUAAACGAGCUAAAAUCACUUGUGCAAAUUGCAAAAAGCCUUUACAGAAGGGACAGACAGCUUAUCAACGAAAAGGAUCAGCUCACCUCUUUUGCUCUACCACCUGCCUUUCUUCCUUCUCUCAUAAACGUACUCAAAACACACGAAGUAUAAUAUGUAAAAAAGAUGCAUCUACAAAGAAGGCUAAUGUUGUUCUUCCAGUAGAAUCAAGCAAAUCCUUCCAAGAAUUUUGUAGUACAUCUUGUUUGUCUCCCUGUGAAAACAACCGGAAUCUUAAAAAAGGAAUUUUUAAUAAGUCAAGAUGUACAAUUUGUAGUAAAUUAGCAGAGAUUCGCCAUGAAGUCAGCGUAAAUAAUGUAACACAUAAACUGUGCAGUAACCAUUGCUUUAAUAAGUACAGAUUGGCCAAUGGUCUAAUAAUGAACUGCUGUGAACACUGUGGAGAGUACAUGCCUAGUAAGAGUACUGGAAACAACAUCCUGGUGUUUGGAGGUCAGCAGAAGAUAUUUUGCUGCCAAAGUUGUAUUAACGAAUAUAAACAGAUGAUGGAAACAAAAUCAAAAAAAUUAACAGCAUCAGAAAAUAGAAAAAGGAAUGCUUUUAGAGAAGAAAAUGAGAAACAAUUCUGUGGAUCGUCAAAUACACUUUUGAAAAAAAUAGAGGGAAUCCCAGAAAAAAAGGAAAAGACUUCACAGCUACAGCUUUCAGUAGAAUGUGGCACGGAUACAUUACUGAUCCAAGAGAAUGUGAAUUUACCUCCUUCUUCCACAUCAACCAUAGCUGAUAUAUUUCAAGAGCAACUGGAAGAGAAAAAUUUUGAAGACUGCAUUGUACCAGUUGUGCUUUCCGCAGAUCCAGGUACGUGGCCCCGAAUUUUGAAUAUUAAACAACGGGACACUCUUGUUGAAAAUGUUCCGCCUCAAGUAAGAAAUUUUAACUUUCCAAAAGAUAAUACAGGGAGGAAGUUUUCAGAAACUUAUUAUACACGGAUUCUUCCAAAUGGCGAAAAAACCACUAGAUCCUGGUUACUUUAUUCGACCUCAAAAGAUUCUGUGUUUUGUCUGUAUUGCAAACUCUUUGGGGAAGGAAAAAAUCAACUGAAAAAUGAAAAUGGGUGCAAAGAUUGGCAACAUUUAUCACAUAUUCUUAGUAAACAUGAAGAAAGUGAAAUGCACAUCAACAAUAGUGUUAAGUACUCAAAAUUAAAAUCUGAUCUGAAAAAAAAUAAAGCUAUUGAUGCUGCAGAACGCAGAUUAUAUGAAAAUGAGAAAAAUGAUGGUGUGCUAUUGUUGUACACGUAAUAUACCUGAUUUGUUUUUUGGCAUGAUGAUCAGAAUCUUACAUUACUCAGAAAACAUCUGUCCUGCAAUAGUCAGUACUAUUGUGUUGUAAGUUUCCUCUACAGUGUAACUUGCAGCAGUUCCUUAACAAUAAGUAUGAUAGCAAAUAAAUAGCAAAGAAUGUUUCCAUUCUAAAUCUAAAACUAAUUAAAUUCAAUCAUCAUUAGGCAGUGACUUCAUUAGGCAAUGAAGAUUAACAAUAGGUAAUUGUUAAUCUUCAAAAUCUAUCGAUUUACACCUAUUUAAAAAUUGGCAUUUAAUGACUGUCAUUUGACGGGUUUGGUUAAUAUUCUGUUCUUGGCCGGGCGCAAUGGCUCACGUCUGUAAUCCCAGAACUUUGGGAGGCCCAGGCGGGUAGAUCAAUUGAGGUCAGAAGUUCAAGACCAGCCUGGCCAACAUGGCAAAACCUCAUCUUUACUAAAAAUACAAAAAUUAGCCAGGUGUGGUGGCACACACCUGUAGUCCCAGCUACUCAGGAGGCUGAGGCAGGAGAAUUGCUUGAACCCAGAAGGCAGAGAUUGCAGUGAGCUGAGACUGCACCACUGCACUCCACCCUGAGCAACAGAGCGAGAGUCAGUCUCGAAAGAAAAAAAAUAUUAUGUUCUAAUUACCUUGAAAGAGGAAAGAAAGGCUUGAAUUGAUCAAUACCAGUUUGAAUAAGAUACUUAUGUGAACAAGCAUUCUCAACAUUAUUAUUAAAAUAAAACUACUCAGUUUACAGAAUGGGAUCUGAAACUACAGCUUUUUGCUAUUAAACCAAAUACUGUGGUCUACUUCGUUUGAGCAAAACAGCAUUAUUUGUUAUGUUAAUGAUGGUUAAUUUCCAUUUUAUUGGUUUUAUGUUUAUUUUAAUUUGUAAAUGUUUUAGCAUUUAUUAUUGUAUGUGAACUAUAUUUACCUAUUUUAUGUUGAUAAAAAUAUAAAAAAUAUUAAAAUAAGUAUAUAUUAAGUUAA